UACAUAUGGUGCAAGCGUUAUCCGGAAUGACUGGGUGUAAAGGGAGCGUAGACGGUUGUUCAAGUCUGAUGUGAAAGCCCUCGGCUUAACUGGGGGAGUGCAUUGGAAACUGAAGGACUAGAGUAUCGGAGAGGCAAGUGGAAUUCCUAGUGUAGCGGUGAAAUGCGUAGAUAUUAGGAGGAACACCAGUGGCGAAGGCGGCUUGCUGGACGAAAACUGACGUUGAGGCUCGAAAGCGUGGGGAGCAAACAGG
This 253-nucleotide ribosomal RNA is filed under the name uncultured bacterium. Its description in RNAcentral is "partial 16S ribosomal RNA". It matches the Rfam family "Bacterial small subunit ribosomal RNA", at positions 524 to 776 of the family's 1533-position model. The record is from RNAcentral.